Molecule: ribosomal RNA, 537 nt
Filed under: uncultured bacterium
Lineage: Bacteria
Description: bacterial SSU rRNA
Rfam family: Bacterial small subunit ribosomal RNA
Source: RNAcentral
AAGAACCUUCCCCAGUCUUGACAUCCUUUGACCACUCUAGAGAUAGAGCUUUUCCUUCGGGGACAAAGUGACAGGUGGUGCAUGGUUGUCGUCAGCUCGUGUCGUGAGAUGUUGGGUUAAGUCCCGCAACGAGCGCAACCCUUAUUACUAGUUGCCAGCAUUGAGUUGGGCACUCUAGUGAGACUGCCGGUGACAAACCGGAGGAAGGUGGGGAUGACGUCAAAUCAUCAUGCCCCUUAUGACUUGGGCUACACACGUGCUACAAUGGAUGGUACAACGAGCAGCGAACUCGCGAGGGUAAGCGAAUCUCUUAAAGCCAUUCUCAGUUCGGAUUGUAGGCUGCAACUCGCCUACAUGAAGCCGGAAUCGCUAGUAAUCGCGGAUCAGCACGCCGCGGUGAAUACGUUCCCGGGUCUUGUACACACCGCCCGUCACACCACGAGAGUUUGUAACACCCAAAGUCGGUGAGGUAGCCUUUUGGAGCCAGCCGCCUAAGGUGGGAUAGAUGAUUGGGGUGAAGUCGUAACAAGGUAACCA